This is a long non-coding RNA of Pipistrellus kuhlii (Kuhl's pipistrelle), 123 nucleotides long. RefSeq lists it as uncharacterized. The record is from RefSeq and is a predicted model, not a curated record. The transcript has 3 exons. NCBI's taxonomy places the organism in Eukaryota, Metazoa, Chordata, Mammalia, Chiroptera, Vespertilionidae.
CAGAGACAGUGCAGGUGAGGGAGAGGGUCUGCGAGGGCUUCACCAGUCCUGGGCCCACCCCUGAAACUGCAGCUGGGACAGGACACCUGGGGACUAGAAGCAUCAAGAGGAAGAGGCACGUGG